Erinaceus europaeus (western European hedgehog) is the source of this 784-nucleotide long non-coding RNA. RefSeq lists it as uncharacterized. The record is from RefSeq and is a predicted model, not a curated record. The transcript is spliced from 2 exons. NCBI's taxonomy places the organism in Eukaryota, Metazoa, Chordata, Mammalia, Eulipotyphla, Erinaceidae.
GUUAAGUGCAGGUGGCGCAAAGCGCAAGGACACGCAUAAGGAUCCCGGUUCAAGCCCUCGGCUCCCCACCUGCAGGGGAGUCACUUCACAGGCAGUGAAGCAGGUCUGCAGGUGUCUAUCUUUCUCUCUCCCUUUCUGUCUUCCCCUCCUCUCUCCAUUUCUCUCUGUCCUAUUCAACAACAACAAGAAGAAUAAAACAAGAGCGACUAAAGGGAAUAAAUAAGUAAAUAAAUAUUAAAAGAAAAGAAAAGAAAAGAAAGGCAGAGUGGAGGGGCUGGCUAGAAAACCUAAUGGUUGUGAAAAAAAAUUAAUUUUGGUAUGACAAAUUGAGAGGGAGAGAGGAAGAGACACACCUGCAGCACUGCUUCACGGAUCACGAAGCUUCCCCCUCAGCAGGUUGGGACUGGGGCCUCGAACCUGGAUUCUUGCUCAUGGUAAUGUGUGUACACAACCCAGAGGGCCAAUGCCCACCCCUUAAAGGGAUUCUUUUCAAGGGCGGAAGCCCCAUGGCUUGGUCACACAUCCACAGAUCUGUCUGUGCUGCUAUUUGCAGACACUACGUGUGCUGCUGCUGCUGCCCUGUGAAGUACUUUUCGAUUGGUACUGUGGUCCUGAUUUCAGGUCCAGCAAAGUGCCGUUUGGAAUAUUUGUUUUAGUUUAAGCAGACAUAUUUUUCUCUUCAUGAAAUAAACCAAUGAACUGCAGUUUGUCAGCUCUGAUUUGCUUUUACAUGUUAAUAGCUUUGCCUAAUUAUUAAAGUAAAAUAAAAAAUAAUUUUUUGUGU